RNAcentral lists this ribosomal RNA (875 nucleotides) under Flavobacterium sp. 4cultural_64. RNAcentral describes it as "bacterial SSU rRNA". It matches the Rfam family "Bacterial small subunit ribosomal RNA", at positions 141 to 1033 of the family's 1533-position model. The record is from RNAcentral. Lineage: Bacteria; Pseudomonadati; Bacteroidota; Flavobacteriia; Flavobacteriales; Flavobacteriaceae.
GGGUAGCCCGAGAAAUUGGAUAAUCCUCUAAGUUAAUAGUUGGCAUCGGCAAUUUUUAAGUCACACGGUAAAGGUGGGCUUGGUUCCAUUAGCUAGUGGUAAGGUAACGGCUUACCAGGGUUACGAUGGGUUAGGGUCCUGAGAGGGAGAUCCCCCCACACUGGUACUGAGACACGGACCAGAUUCCUACGGGAGGCAGCAGUGAGGAAUAUUGGACAAUGGGCGCAAGCCUGAUCCAGCCAUGCCGCGUGCAGGAUGACGGUCCUAUGGAUUGUAAACUGCUUUUAUACGAGAAGAAACACUGCUUCGUGAAGCAGCUUGACGGUAUCGUAAGAAUAAGGAUCGGCUAACUCCGUGCCAGCAGCCGCGGUAAUACGGAGGAUCCAAGCGUUAUCCGGAAUCAUUGGGUUUAAAGGGUCCGUAGGCGGUUUAAUAAGUCAGUGGUGAAAGCCCAUCGCUCAACGGUGGAACGGCCAUUGAUACUGUUAAACUUGAAUUAUUAGGAAGUAACUAGAAUAUGUAGUGUAGCGGUGAAAUGCUUAGAGAUUACAUGGAAUACCAAUUGCGAAGGCAGGUUACUACUAAUGGAUUGACGCUGAUGGACGAAAGCGUGGGUAGCGAACAGGAUUAGAUACCCUGGUAGUCCACGCCGUAAACGAUGGAUACUAGCUGUUGGAAGCAAUUUCAGUGGCUAAGCGAAAGUGAUAAGUAUCCCACCUGGGGAGUACGUUCGCAAGAAUGAAACUCAAAGGAAUUGACGGGGGCCCGCACAAGCGGUGGAGCAUGUGGUUUAAUUCGAUGAUACGCGAGGAACCUUACCAAGGCUUAAAUGUAGUUUGACCGAUUUGGAAACAGAUCUUUCGCAAGACAAAUUA